AUGGACGCCGCCUGGGCCGCGGCGCGCGUGGCCGACCCCAACCCCAACCCCGGAGGUGACAUCCACCGGCUCCGCUCCCGCCUGCAAGGCCUUCACCUCGUCCUCUCCACCGCCCGGGAGCGCGUGCCCAGGGCGCGCAGCGAGGCCCUGCUCGGCUCCCUGCGCCGCCUCCACGGGCUCGCCAGUGACGCCGACAACCUGCUCGACGAAAUGCUCUACCACCAGAUCCACCGCCAGCUCCAUCCGGAUGUGGGGAGCGACACUUCCUCGUCGUCGUCGGUCGUCCAGUCGGUGGUCUCCAUGAUAUCUGGAGAUGACGUUCGUGAGGCGCUCAAGAUGGAAAAGCUUGACGCUGUUGUCACCUACGCAGGUCUGAAUGCUGGUAUGGAUCACCGCAGCCCAACAACAGCUUUUGUUACAAAGCCGAAGAUAUUUGGGAGAGAUGCUGUGAAGGAGCGCAUUGUGCAGACGCUGAUGAGUGCUGAGGCUUGUGGUGUUGAUUGUUGGGGCUGGAAAGCAACAAUGCGCUGCACAAAUUCACCGACACGGCAAAUAUACACACUACAUAGCCCUCUCCAUUUGUGA
RNAcentral lists this ribosomal RNA (585 nucleotides) under Triticum aestivum (bread wheat). RNAcentral describes it as "partial small subunit ribosomal RNA". The record is from RNAcentral. Lineage: Eukaryota; Viridiplantae; Streptophyta; Magnoliopsida; Poales; Poaceae.